Molecule: non-coding RNA, 73 nt
Organism: Trichonephila inaurata madagascariensis
Lineage: Eukaryota; Metazoa; Arthropoda; Arachnida; Araneae; Nephilidae
Source: the annotation of a GenBank genome assembly
GUUCCUGUAGUGUAAUGGGUAGCGCGUUGGACUUCUAAUUCGAAAGGCGUGGGUUCGAAUCCCACUUGGAAUU